This 650-nucleotide ribosomal RNA is filed under the name Bertia tropicalis. RNAcentral's name for it is "eukaryotic LSU rRNA". It matches the Rfam family "Eukaryotic large subunit ribosomal RNA", at positions 22 to 667 of the family's 3401-position model. Lineage: Eukaryota; Fungi; Ascomycota; Sordariomycetes; Coronophorales; Bertiaceae. The record is from RNAcentral.
GUACCCGCUGAACUUAAGCAUAUCACUUAGCGGAGGAAAAGAAACCAACAGGGAUUGCCCUAGUAACGGCGAGUGAAGCGGCAAGAGCCCAGAUUUGAAAUCUAGCCUCUAUUUUCUAGGGGUUCGAGUUGUAAUCUGCAGAGGGUGUUCUAGGUAUAGCUCACUACUAAGUGCCCUGGGACGGGACGCCAUAGAGGGUGAGAGCCCCAUGCGGUAGUGUAGUAAGCCUUUAAAGAACCCCUUCAGAGAGUCGCGUAGUUUGGGAAUGCUGCGCAAAGUGGGAGGUAUACCCCUUCUAAGGCUAAAUACUGGCCAGAGACCGAUAGCGCACAAGUAGAGUGAUCGAAAGAUGAAAAGCACCUUGGAAAGGGGGUUAAACAGUACGUGAAAUUGCUAAAGGGGAAGCGCCUAUCCUCAGACUCGGGCUCUGUGGCUAUCACCUAACCUGAGAAUGGCUGGGGUAUUUCACAGGGCUUGGGCUAGCGCCGGCUAGUUGAUUACUGGAGUGUAAAGGUACUGGGAAUGUAGCCACUCCUCUGGAGUGGUGUUAUAUCCUAGUGCGUAAUGCUCUAGAGCUAGCCGAGGUCCUCGCCUUCGGGCAAGGGCGCUGGCAUAAUGGGGAUUGGCGGGCCCGUCUUGAAACACGGACC